This 107-nucleotide small nucleolar RNA is filed under the name Cephalotus follicularis. Its description in RNAcentral is "Plant small nucleolar RNA R71". It matches the Rfam family "Plant small nucleolar RNA R71". From Rfam's summary of the family: R71 is a member of the C/D box family of snoRNAs containing the C (UGAUGA) and D (CUGA) box motifs. Multiple nearly identical copies of this snoRNA have been identified in Arabidopsis, and it is thought to function as a 2'-O-ribose methylation guide for 18S ribosomal RNA. Lineage: Eukaryota; Viridiplantae; Streptophyta; Magnoliopsida; Oxalidales; Cephalotaceae. The record is from Rfam by way of RNAcentral.
AAACCAUGAUGAGGACACUAUAAAAUAAGGUCUUUGAAACGUUCCAUACAUAGAGAGAAUGAUUCAUUGGGUCUUUGGCAAAACUGAAAAAUGUCGUUCCUAAGAUU